GGCGCCGUACCCAAGUGGCUAAGGGAAGGGUCUGCAAAACCCUCAUUCGGCGGUUCGAUUCCGCCCGGCGCCUCCA
This 76-nucleotide transfer RNA is filed under the name Armatimonadota bacterium. RNAcentral's name for it is "Armatimonadetes bacterium (sediment metagenome) tRNA-Cys". It matches the Rfam family "tRNA". Rfam says of the family: Transfer RNA (tRNA) molecules are approximately 80 nucleotides in length. RNAcentral also lists the same sequence under 1 other name. The record is from RNAcentral. Lineage: Bacteria; Bacillati; Armatimonadota.